Molecule: ribosomal RNA, 465 nt
Filed under: uncultured bacterium
Lineage: Bacteria
Description: partial 16S ribosomal RNA
Rfam family: Bacterial small subunit ribosomal RNA
Source: RNAcentral
GACGAACGCUGGCGGCGUGCUUAACACAUGCAAGUCGAACGGAAAGGCCCUGCUUGCAGGGUACUCGAGUGGCGAACGGGUGAGUAACACGUGGGUGAUCUGCCCUGCACUUCGGGAUAAGCCUGGGAAACUGGGUCUAAUACCGGAUAGGAGCCAUUUUUAGUGUGAUGGUUGGAAAGUUUUUUCGGUGUAGGAUGAGCUCGCGGCCUAUCAGCUUGUUGGUGGGGUAAUGGCCUACCAAGGCGGCGACGGGUAGCCGGCCUGAGGGGGUGGACGGCCACAUUGGGACUGAGAGACGGCCCAGACUCCUACGGGAGGCAGCAGGGGGGAAUAUUGCCCAAGGGGCGCCAGCCUGAUGCAGCGACGCCGCGUGGGGGAUGACGGCCUUCGGGUUGUAAACUCCUUUCGCUAGGGACGAAGCUUUUUGUGACGGUACCUAGAGAAGAAGCACCGGCUAACUACGUG